RNAcentral lists this long non-coding RNA (435 nucleotides) under Equus caballus (horse). RNAcentral's name for it is "lncRNA (ENSECAG00000051745.1)". The record is from RNAcentral. Lineage: Eukaryota; Metazoa; Chordata; Mammalia; Perissodactyla; Equidae.
UGGGGCUAUUCCCUGUUGGUCUUAAUAGCCAGCAAAGUCAGGUAUUAUGACACUUAUCUAGGUUGUACUGAAUUCAAAGGCUGCUUAUUGUGGCAUAGCUCUCCUGCUCAGGUAACCUCCUCCUCCAGGAAAAGCUUUGUACCUAAAGAUUGCUCCUGGCCAUGAAGUGCCAUGGCUAGAAUGUGUUUUUUUCCACAGCAGAAAGGGUUCAGAUAAGCGAACAUGAGCAAGCACAGGGAGGCCUUACAACCCAGGGCCUGAGUGGGGUUUCCAAGGAGAAAUGGUGCCGGAUUACAGACAAACAUGAAAGUCAACACCAGGACUGAAUUAUAUAUAUAGACAAAUUCCACGAGUCCUCAGACUCAGCAAAUAGGAAAAUUUAAACUAGCACAAUUGGAAAGAUAUCUUAAUGUAAGUGUGCCUAGACACCUCAAA